RNAcentral lists this ribosomal RNA (1485 nucleotides) under uncultured bacterium. Its description in RNAcentral is "partial 16S ribosomal RNA". It matches the Rfam family "Bacterial small subunit ribosomal RNA". The record is from RNAcentral.
GGGGACGGGGCUAGGAUUACGCUGGCGGCGUGCUUUAUGCAUGCAAGUCGCACGGUUUUUUUCGCAAGAGGAAGACAGUGGCGAACGGGUGCGUAACGCGUAAGCAACCUACCCUUAAGUACGGAAUAACUCUGAGAAAUCGGUGCUAAUACCGUAUGUGGUCAUUCUUCGCAAGUGGGAUGACCAAAGCCGCAAGGCGCUUGAGGAGGGGCUUGCGUACUAUCAGCUUGUUGGUGGGGUAACGGCUCACCAAGGCUAUGACGGUUAGCUGGUUUGAGAGGACGAUCAGCCACACUGGGACUGAGACACGGCCCAGACUCCUACGGGAGGCAGCAGUGGGGAAUAUUGCGCAAUGGGGGAAACCCUGACGCAGCGACGCCGCGUGGGUGAUGAAGGCCUUCGGGUCGUAAAGCCCUGUCGUAGGGGAAGAACCGGUGGGCGGCUAAUACCCGCUCGCCUUGACGGUACCCUACAAGAAAGCACCGGCUAACUACGUGCCAGCAGCCGCGGUAAUACGUAGGGUGCGAGCGUUAAUCGGAAUUACUGGGCGUAAAGCGUGCGCAGGCGGUUUUGUAAGACAGGCGUGAAAUCCCCGGGCUUAACCUGGGAACUGCGUUUGUGACUGCAAGGCUAGAGUGUAGCAGAGGGGGGUAGAAUUCCACGUGUAGCAGUGAAAUGCGUAGAUAUGUGGAGGAAUACCGAUGGCGAAGGCAGCCCCCUGGGCUAACACUGACGCUCAUGCACGAAAGCGUGGGGAGCAAACAGGAUUAGAUACCCUGGUAGUCCACGCCCUAAACGAUGUCAACUAGGUGUUGGGGGAGGAGACUUCCUUAGUACCGCAGCUAACGCGUGAAGUUGACCGCCUGGGGAGUACGGUCGCAAGAUUAAAACUCAAAGGAAUUGACGGGGACCCGCACAAGCGGUGGAUUAUGUGGAUUAAUUCGAUGCAACGCGAAAAACCUUACCUACCCUUGACAUGCCAGGAACUUUCCAGAGAUGGAUGGGUGCCCGAAAGGGAACCUGGACACAGGUGCUGCAUGGCUGUCGUCAGCUCGUGUCGUGAGAUGUUGGGUUAAGUCCCGCAACGAGCGCAACCCUUGCCAAUAAUUGCCACCAUUCAGUUGGGCACUUUAUUGGGACUGCCGGUGAUAAACCGGAGGAAGGUGGGGAUGACGUCAAGUCCUCAUGGCCCUUAUGGGUAGGGCUUCACACGUAAUACAAUGGUCGGUACAGAGGGUUGCCAACCCGCGAAGGGGAGCCAAUCCCAGAAAGCCGAUCGUAGUCCGGAUUGUAGUCUGCAACUCGACUACAUGAAGUCGGAAUCGCUAGUAAUCGCGGAUCAGCAUGUCGCGGUGAAUACGUUCCCGGGUCUUGUACACACCGCCCGUCACACCAUGGGAGUGGAAUCUGGCAGAAGUAGGUAGCCUAACCGCAAGGGGGGCGCUUACCACGCUGGGUUCAUGACUGGGGGAAGUCGAACACCGG